RNAcentral lists this unclassified non-coding RNA (336 nucleotides) under soil metagenome. RNAcentral's name for it is "partial contains 5.8S ribosomal RNA, internal transcribed spacer 2, and large subunit ribosomal RNA". The stretch from base 1 to 120 matches the Rfam family "5.8S ribosomal RNA", at positions 35 to 154 of the family's 154-position model. The record is from RNAcentral.
GAUGAAGAACGUAGCGAAAUGCGAUAAGUAAUGUGAAUUGCAGAAUUCAGUGAAUCAUCGAAUCUUUGAACGCACAUUGCGCCCGCCAGUAUUCUGGCGGGCAUGCCUGUUCGAGCGUCAUUUCAACCAUCAAGCCCCAGGCUUGUGUUGGGGACCUGCGGCUGCCGCAGGCCCUGAAAACCAGUGGCGGGCUCGCUGUCACACCGGGCGUAGUAGAUUUUAUCUCGCUCAGGGCGUGCUGCGGGUUCCGGUCGUUAAAAAGCCUUUUUUACCCAAGGUUGACCUCGGAUCAGGUAGGAAGACCCGCUGAACUUAAGCAUAUCAAUAAGCGGAGGA